CUACAUUUAUUUGGCUUCGAAACAUUUCAGGAUUUAUGAUAUUUGUGUAUAUUUUUUGGACUUAUCUUAACAUGGUGCUCUAAAGUUACCAGAACUUCUAAAGCUUUUGACGGAGUUAAUUAGCCAAUAGAAAUUUGAAAAAUCUUGUGUCUAUAGUCUUCAGAAAAGAUUGAAUACUAUUACCUUUUGUUCUAGUAAUCGUUAUUCCUGUAUGCUUUUGUUUUUUUGCAUGAGUUUUCCCACUAACCACAAGUUUUUUUGUUAUUGAUUUUUAUUUCUGAACUUCAGCCAUUUCCAUUUUGUUCAUGAGCUUGUAAUUAUACUUAUGGACUCUGCAAUUCUUUACUUCGGGAUAUUGCUCUGGUUUUAGAAGGUAAUUACUUUUGUGUUUUCUUGGUGGUCCUUUACUUAAGGAACUCUCUCUUGACUUCUCAUCUCUUUUGUGAGUACACAGGGCAGGAGAACUUUUCCUACAUUUUGGUCUCGAUGCAAAAAAUAAGAUGUUGCACACACUUUCAUUUUUAGCAGGCGUUAUGGAGCUGGAGUUCUUGUGGCUCUUCCUCAUGAUUUUUACAAAAUAAAAUUGCAAUACUACGAUGGCCGUUUUGUUUACUUUUUGCGUCAAUUAAUUUCAUUUAUCGCUGGGAAUAAAGAUAAGCAAGAGAUCGAAGAUAACAUGAGAUGGGAGACCACGAAAUUGACAAGGAGGCCUUGCUAGUAAGGGACUUUGUGGUUCUUUCUGUUGUUGAAAAUAAAUCGAGCAUCACCUAUCGUCUAUAUGGGAAUUCAAGGUUUUAACUGAAGCCAGAUGUCAUCAACUUAUUCGCCAGCUAUAUACCAUUCUUGAGAAGGACAGACAUUCUCAUCUUUUACAUUUCAUGAGAAUUUGAGAUAGCUUCAAAUAGCAAGGAACAAACGAAGAGGCGAUUAGGAUUAUGCUUUUUCCCUAAACUUUAAGGGAUAAAGAUAGGGAAUGACUUGAUUCAGUACUAUCGACAGCAUCACUACAUGGACAAAACUAGUAUAGAAGUUCACCACAAAGUAUUUUCCUCCAAUCAAGAUUGCCAAACUCAAACAUGACAUCUCCAUUUUCCCGUCUCAUUUGGUAAGCUUUUAUGAAGCUUGGAAAAGAUUCAAAUAACUACUCAGUAAGUGAUUGAAUCACGGUACCGUAAAGGGUCUUUAAAUACAAUACUUCGAUUCUGGGUUGCUUCCAUCCAAUCGAUCUACAGUUGAUACAGCUUCCAAAGGAUCCAUUACAAAAAAAGAAAGAAAGAAUGAAGACUGUCUACAAAGCAUAGGAAUUGCUUGAAAUAAUGAGUGAGCACGGUGCAGCGGGGCCAGAUGGUGGAACACAGAAAGAAAAUAGACGAAAUGCAAGGGGUGGGUGCCGAUUCCCUUGUCCUUGCAAAAAUCGAUUCAUUGACAAAGAAGAGGGAUGAAAUAUUAACUACUCGAUCAGUUAAUAUGGUGCAAGCACUUCUUUUAGUUUGUGGUGCUUGUGAGGCAAAUAUACUGACAUCGGAAUGCCUAUUGGUCACACAAAUCAUCCAUCACCAAGUGAGCAAGAAUCCACCACAGGAGCAGAAGGAAAGAUGGGGAGAAGAAUGACACUACCAUGUGGAGCCAAAAUGAAACUUUGAAGAAACUGGAAAAUCAAGUAGGGCAGGUAGCAAAGAUGCUGUCUGAGUAAUAACAAGACACAUAUCCAAGCAAAACUGAAGUCAACCCAAUCGAGAAGGUGAAUGCAAUUACCUUAAUGAACGGGGGCCAACCAAAGCAAAUUCUUUUCUCUAUUCUACCCUCAUCGACAUCUCCUUACGCUGAUUCAAUAGCAGUUGCAGCUGGGUCGUUCUCCAUUCCUUAGGAAGGAAUGCGGGGAAGGAUGGGGCGGUACUGGCUCUUACUCAAUUCCUAGGAAUUGCGGGCCAGGGAAGAUCGGUACCGAGCCGACCAUUCAAUUCGAAAAUUCUUGAAAAGGGACCAAGCCUAUGGUCGAUGAUCACAAGCAUAUGAUAGAGAGCAAUUGACCCUAUGGAGCUUGAACAUUACUAAUAGGAUGAGGUUAUGUGUCAAGCAUCAAGUGGACACUUUCUUGACACAAAGAGACUUGUAAAGGUAAUGCAAUUUUGAAUUCAAGAUCACUCUCUAAAUCUUGGAAAUACUCAACUUGGCAAUUGUUAUUUCGUCCAUUGCCUCUUCCACACCUAAAUAUCUUCAGCUAUUUGGCUUGAGUAUCAGAGUGCUCUGCAAUAACAUGUAGUUUAACGUGAUGUCAAAGCGUGCAAGUACCAUACAUAUGGAUGGGAGUAGAGCUGGAUCUGUUAACAACAAGAUUCCGUCCCGUUGAAUUUCAAGUCAGCAAAUCUGGUACAAAAUACAAUGAAAAAACUUCUAUUUCUAACCUCCAUAUUGGCGAUGAUUGUUCAACACAUAGCAAAUCGAUGUACUUAAUGCAAGUGACAACAAAUUAAUCAUUAUUUUCUAUAAAUUUAAAAGUUGGCUC
Molecule: long non-coding RNA, 2506 nt
Organism: Olea europaea var. sylvestris
Lineage: Eukaryota; Viridiplantae; Streptophyta; Magnoliopsida; Lamiales; Oleaceae
Exons: 4
Source: RefSeq, a predicted model, not a curated record